This 500-nucleotide long non-coding RNA is filed under the name Homo sapiens (human). Its description in RNAcentral is "HSALNT0221067". The record is from RNAcentral. Lineage: Eukaryota; Metazoa; Chordata; Mammalia; Primates; Hominidae.
AAGACAUGCUGGGUGCAUUUUUUGGACCUUACCACAUCUUGUUUGAGAGAAGUGGGACCAAUGCUGAUGAAACUCUUUCCCAUGGUGUGUUCUAUAUUCAUUGGAUGGGCAUCGCCUACGGCUGGAGCAGGGCUGAGCUCUGUACUGGUGUCUCUUAAAACACACCAGACAGCAACAGCUGAGAUACCUACUACCUGGAUCUGCUUGAUUAGAUCAUACGGUCAUAUUUGAUUACUUAGAAUGGGCCAGGAGGCUUUCUAAGCUUACUCCUGAUGCAGUUAAAACUCAAAGGUUUCUGGAAGCCAAUGAAAAUCCUCACCUCUGACUGAAAUGGAAUUUCAAGGGAAAGAAAAUACAACGUAUUUUAUGAGGUCAGGUCUCCCAUAAGGUGUUAAAGGCAUUGUUCAGAGGUGCCACCUAGCAACUUCUCCCAGAACAAAAGAUUAGCCAUAGGUACUUCUUGUGUCUGGUUUUUGAGUUUAAAAUAGGAACAGGCAAAG